AUAGAAAAACAGGCGUACACACAAUAGAAAAACAGGUGUUCACCCAACAGAUUAAAAAGGUCUACACUCAACAGAAAAAUAUGUUCAUUACACCUGCACUGUAGUAGUGGUCAGUUUCAUUACCAAAUGCUGGUGGUGGUCACUAUACACAAGGGACCACCUAACACAUGAGGUUGUAAAGUACAGAAUACAUCAAAACACAUGGUCACUGUAAACAGGUUACAGUUAAACAUAGAUGGCAGCUAUACACAUGUUACAGCUAAACACAUGUAUAGCUGUACACAGGCAGUCACUAUGCACAGGUGGUCACUAUACACAGGUGGUCACUACACAAGUUACAGGUAAACACAGGUGGUCACUAUACACAUGUUACAGCUAAACACGUGUAACUGUAAACAGGCAGUCACUAUACACAGGUGGUCACUAUACACAAGUUACAGGUAAACACAGGUGGUCACUAUACACAAGUUACAGGUAAACACACAGAUUAUUCUGAUUACCACUAAAAUAUACAGUCACUACAUUCAUUUAAUAAUUCAAUAAAAAAUCAGGUCACUUCAUUUAAAAAAAGUGGUCAAUAUACUGAACAUUGCAUAAUCUUGGAAUAAAUAAGGUGUUGUCUCCCUUUAUAUGUUGGACUAGAAUUCAAAGAGCAAAGUCAUUCUUGAAAGUGUCUCAUCCUUAUACAAAUGGUUCAGAGAUGGGUGUGUGAAUGUGCUGGGUCAGUCCAGGAAGAUCACAAAAAAGGUUGAAAAUAUGAGAAAUCUGAAAGUUAAAGAUUGAAUUAGUGAAAAAGUGUUUGUUGAACAAAUUCAAGUAUUGAUAUGCUUCAGAGUAUAUAAGUUAUUUAUUGAAAUAAAAUCAUACAUUAGUUUGACGACUUAGUGAAGUAAGAUUCUACUAAACCCUUUGAUAUCGAGUGAAAAUUAUCACACUAUAAUCUUCUACUAAAAACCUUUUGAUGUCAUGCGUUAGUGUAGUUAAGAUUCUACUAAAAUCUUGUGGUAUAAACAAGACUAAAACACGACAUAUUUGUAUACUUUAUCGUUGUUUUUAAGGGCUGUAACCAUACAUGUGUAUAUCGUUGUCACGUGUAAACUGAUACUAAUAGAUGUUUUAAAAACAUUUAAGACUCUAGCCAAGUGUGUUUUUAUUAGUUAAAGAUUGUUUGUUCCAAUGCUGUUUGUUUUUUGGUGAAAUGUGUGUUUUAUAUAUAGUAACUGUGAUAUUAUGUAAACUACACAGAAAUAAUUAUUAAAUACUCUUUUAUCCAUCAACAGACUUAAUUUUACUAAUAUCGUUUCAGAACUACGGUCUUAUCGAUCUAUUUGAUCUGUGUUGUAGUUUCUACUGUUCUUCGUUUCUGAGGAUUAUGUCCCUUGUUUUGAGUAUAUUUUGCCUGUAAUGUGUUAGUUUAAGCUGGCGCUAUAGAUCAGUGAGCAGCUAUUUUUGUUUUUAUGUUUUUUUUCUUUUUCCUUUAUUUGUGUGUAUGGCUGAAGUGUUACUGAAGAUAUUGUUAUAAAUAAUGGAAAAUAAAAAGGUUUGUUAAAAUCA
Molecule: long non-coding RNA, 1554 nt
Organism: Ylistrum balloti
Lineage: Eukaryota; Metazoa; Mollusca; Bivalvia; Pectinida; Pectinidae
Exons: 2
Source: RefSeq, a predicted model, not a curated record